AGCCGGCGGCACCAGGCGCCUUCAUCAUGGCGCCGGCGGCGGCUGGGGCGGCUGCAGCAGGCCAGAGAAAGUAGGCGCCCACGGCGCCCCCGAUGACCAUCGCCGCGGUCCCCACGGCACCGUCGCGCGUGGAGAGCUUUGCAGGCAGGUACGGUUUGGCCAACGAGAUGGUGGAGGCCAUGGCCGCUCCUGUAUGGUUCUUGACGUAGCCGAGACCGGUGACGAUGUCGCCUGUGCUCAUCUCGGUUAGCUUUGCGGGAAGGUACGGCUUGGCCAACGAGACUGUGGAGGCCAUGGCCGCUCCUGUAUGGUUCUUGACGUAGCCGAGACCCGCGACGAUGCCACCCGUGUUCAUCUCGGUUAGCUUUGAGGGGAGGUACGGCUUGGCCAGCGAGACGGUGGAGGCCACGGCGCUCGCCUGUUGCUUGACGAGGUCGAGACCGGAGAAGAGGAGGUCGCGGGUGCUCAUCUCGCCUGGUUUUCCUUUCCGAUUUGUGGUCGUUUGUGUGGACUUAUACCUCACUAAAUGGAUGAGACGACGCAAAGCGUGGAUUUAUAGCGACGAAGGUGAUCUAUACCUAGACAACGACGCGCGACGACCUUGACUACCAACAGUACUAUCGACAGCACUAACAUGUCACCAUAUGAAGAAGAAUCAAAAGAUUACAAAAGAGGCUAUAUAAAAAUCAUUCACCGCUGGUCCCUUUGUACCUACUCGGCUAAAGCACAGGAUGCCCAGGCGUGGUGCGGAAGGCAGUCACCUCGACCAACUCUACUUUCCAUGCCAUGAUAGACUGAUACACCCAUCUAAACAACCAAGUGUACGGAUUAUCUAUAAUUUAUUAAACCAACUCUACCGCACGACCCCAUUUCGUUCGUUCUUAGUUCGUUUAGAUUAAACGGACGAAUAGCUGAACCCGACGUGCAGUCCCAAAUGAACAAAUAUCUGAUUUUCGUCCAUUUUCAUUCUAUUCCGGGCCCAAACAUGCGUCGCGUUUGGAGUAAAACGGACAACGUGCGGACGGGCGGGACACGCGUCCUUGUCCUCCCCAUGGCCCGCCUGUCGGGACACUGGCACUUCAUUCAUUUCCAACGCCUCCAUCCGCCCUCCCCGCCCCACCUCGCCGUCGGAGCCGCCACUAUUUUUUCAGCCGCCUCCUCACUGCUCACCCCCCGGCCGUCCAUACCAAACCAAGUCUCGCCAUGGCCGCCACCACGCCCACGCUUUCGUAGGAAUUUUGGUCGUCUUUUGGAGAAGUUUUGGCCGUCGCCUUCGUAUCUGGUGCCAGAGGGGAUACGACCGCCGGGUGCUCUAUAGCGACCUGUAGCCGGCCGCCAAACGACCCUCCUGCAUCGAGGUGAUUUCCGCAGCCUAUUUGUCACCACGACCGCAAGGUUUCUAACACUUUGCCAACAAAGGUAUGGACAAUGGAGAUGAAUUUUUCUUCAACCACUUCUUUUGUUCAUCGGAUGAUGCGUCCUCGGAUGACGAAGAUCUUGUGGUGGUUGCACCGGUCGUUCACGACCACAUUGAAAGACAGCGGCCUCGCUACAGGCGGUCAGUCCUGGGCCGUGCUCCCAACCUGAACCACAUCAGAGAGAGAGAGGCGACGCCAUGCUCUAUGUCGAUUACUUUGAGAAUACCACACUCUUUGAACCGAAGAAAUUCCAUCGUUGUUUUCGUAUGGCAAGACAUAUGUACAGUCGUAUCCGAGAGAGAGUGAUUCGUCAUGACCCAUUCUUCGAGUGCAAAACGGAUGCCCUUGGCAAGCUUGGAUUCUUCUCUUAUUAGAAAUGCACCGCGGCCAUCCGCAUGCUUGCAUAAGGUAUUCCACGCGAUUUUGUGGAUGAGUACGUGCGCAUGAGUGAGUUCACAUGUCUGAUGUCAAUGUACAACUUCUGCAAUGCCGUGGUGGCAGUGUUUGGCCCUCAAUACUUGAGGCAGCCAAAUGCUGCUGAUACAAAAAGGCUGUUGGUAAUCAACGCCGAUAGAAGCUUUCCAGGCAUGCAUGGCAGCAAAGAUUGUAUGCACUAGGAGUGGAAGAACAGUCUAUUUGCUUGACAGGGCCAGUACAAGGGGCAUGUGAAAGCGUGCACUCUCAUAUUAGAAGUUGUGGCUUGACAAGAUCUUUGGAUAUGACAUUCUUUCUUCAGCAUGGCAGGUUCUCACAAUGAUAUCAACGUGCUGCAGCGUUCUCCAGUCUUCGCAAGGUUUGCACAAGGCCAUUCUCUACCUAGCAACUUUGAGGUCAAUAGCCACCACUACAACAAGGGAUACUACCUAGAUGCUGGUAUAUAUCCUAAGUGGUCAACUUUUGUGGAGACAAUCUCGAAACCCCAAUGUGAUAAGAGACAGAGAUUUUCCCAAAUGCAAGAGAGUGCUAGAAAGGAUGUGGAGCGUGCUUUUGGUGUGCUUCAAUCCCGAUGGGGUAUCGUUCGAAACCCUUCACUGAACAUGGAUGAAGGGAAGCAUUGGAGGUGAUGACUACUUGUGUGAUCAUGCACAACAUGAUCAUCAAGGACGAGCGUGAUAACAACAUCUUCGACCAAGGAUUUGAUUUUUGAGGUGAAAAUGUUGAGCCCCUGCAGCAAGAACCGGCCACAUUUGAACAGUUUACCCAAUUCCAUCGUGAAAUGCGUGAUUGCACACUCAUUUGGAGCUUUAAAAUGACUUCGUUCAGCACAUGUGGAAUCACAUUGGCAACCAAUAGAUGUAUUGGUUUAUUAUGUUUAUUCAAGACAAUUUCAAUUUGGUUGUAAAACCAUUUUAUUCGAGACAAUUUUGAUUGGGUUGUAAAACUAUUUUUAUUUGAAACAAUUAAAAUUUGGACGUGCAAACAUUGAUGAAUAUGAAUAUAUGGGCAUAUUGGUCGUGGCGGACAGGAUGCGACCAAAGGAUGCGUCCGCAUGUUGGGUGCACGGCCACCGCAUCCGAGGAAAGGCUGAGAGACGACCCCAUUGCCCUACCCAAAUGUCCGGGAAAAACGGAUGUCCGUUUGGGGUCGUGCGCUGAAGUUGGCCUUAGGAACAAGAGGUAGGCAGGAAUGAUCAAGCGUACAACACACAUAAGGGCAUCUCCAGCCGCGCCCCAAGAGGCCACUCAUGCCCCUUUUUAGACGCCGUCGUUACAAAAUCCCCCCCAGUCGGGCCCCCAGGACGUCGUUUUCCGCCAGAUGGUCCAUUUUUCGGGCCGGUGAACCCAGGCCGAACCCAGCACGCUGGGGGCACCUAGGUGCUUUGACAGAAGGAAAAGUUGUGUGUAGGACACUACUGUGAGGCGAGAAAUGCCUUUUCGCCGCUAGAUUCGCCCUCGUGCGCCACGGAACACCUCACCGCCAUGUCGAUCCCGACGCCGCCAACGUGCCCUCAGGUGCUGCCGCGCCGAUUGAAAAUGCCAUUUCCCUGCCAUUUUCGCGGUAGCCUCCAUCCUGCUCUCCCUGGGCGAGCUUUUCAAACCGCUCAGGCAGGGAUACCGGCGACUGCCCACCAACUACGCCAUUCAGGUGUUUGGUGAUUAGCCUGCUCGGUAAUGGACUCAAACGACGAUGACACGUUCAUGGCUCUGAUGGAGGAGAAAGCCGAGGACGACACCACCGACGAAGAGCACAUCAUGAUCCUCGCCGCGCUGGCCGGCCUAUUGCGAAUAAUGCCAAGCCGUGGAGUGGUGUCUCGGUGCCGGGGCGCCGCAAGAGCAAACAAAGACAUCACAUGGAGGUCUAUUACAUGCUCUACAUCGACUACUUCGCCGACAGUCCUAUGCAUGGCGAGAAAUUAUUUCCGCGCCAUUAUCGGAUGGACCCGAAGCUCUUCCUCAGGAUUGUGAAUGUCAUCUAUGAGUUCGACAUCUAUUUCAUUUGCAAGAAGGAUUGCACCAGUACGGUUGGAUUAUCCUCGUUCUUGAAGUACACCACGACUAUGAGGAUCCUUGUGUAUGGAUCUCCCGAUGAUAUACAGUAAUACUAAGGAGCAUGGUCGAGUCGACCACCUUUGAGUGUUUGUAGAAGUUUUGUAGGAUAGUGGUGGCAGUGUUUGGACCAUAAAAUUUGCAAUCACCCAAUGCUGAAGACACUGCUCGGAUCCUAGCGUAGAAUGCAGUAAGAGGAUUUCAUGGGAUGCUUGGAAGCAUCGACUGCAUGCAUUGGGCAUGAAAAAACUAUCCAUUAGCUUGGCAGGGGAUGUACGAAGGCACCAAAAGAGGUUGCAGAGUGGUACUUGAGGUAGUGGCCACAUAGGACCUAUGGAUUUGGCACUCCUUUGGUAUGCUAGGAACUCACAAUGACAUCAACAUACUUCAGUCCUCGAAUGUCUUUGCAAAUCUUGUUGAAGGUCAUGCUCGUUCGGUGAACUUCGAGGUCAAUGGGUGCCACUACAACAAGGGAUACUAUCUAGCAGAUGGUAUCUCCGGGAUUGUCCACAUUUGUGAAGAGUAUCUCAAACCUUGUGCGAGGAGGCAAGAAGUCACACUUUGUUAAGUGUCAGGAGGCUUGCAGGAAGGAUGUCCAGCGAGCAUUUGGUGUGCUCCAAUCUCGAUUUACUAUUGUCCAGUACCCCACUCUUACCUGUGAUACGUCUCCGUCGUAUAUAUAUUUUUUGAUUGUUCCAUGCCAAUAUUAUACAACUUUCACAUAUUUUUUGCAACAUUUUAUAUGAUGUAUUGGACUAACAUAUUGAUCCAGUGCCAAGUGUCAGUUCUUGUUUGUUGCAUAUUUUUUGUUUCGGAGAAUAUCCAUAUCAAACAAAGUGCAACGCGAUAAAAUUUUAAAGAGAAUUAUUUUGAACAUGGAAUCAACGUAAAUGGCGGCCCACGACCUCCACUAGACACCAGGGCGUGCUUGGUCCACCUGGCACAGGGUGGUGUCUACUGGGCACCCCUUAAGUUGGUUGGGGCUCUUCUUAGGGUACAAGAAAUAUAAUUUAUUGAUAAAAGUCCCUCCAAAAUUUCGGCACAACCGGAGUUACGGAUCUUCGAGAAUUUAUGAAACGGUGAAGGACCAUAAAACAGGAACAUGCAACAGAAGAGAACAUAGAGGGAGAUGCAAUCUCGGAGGGGCUCCUUCGCCUCCGCCGCCAUGGAGGCCGUGGACCAGAGGGGGAACUCUCCUCCCAUCUAAGUGGAGGCCAAGGAAGAAGAACAAGGAGGGAGGCUGUCCCCCCUCUCUCCCGGUGGCACCGGAGUGCCGUCGGGGCAAGGAGCGUGACGGAGAUUGACACGUCUCAAACGUACAGACUUUUACAAACACUUUUGCUAUUGUUUUGGCCUCAUUCAUGCAUGAUUUUAAUGAAACUAACCUGAACUGACGCUGUUUUCAGUAGAGCUGCCUAUAUGGUUUUCUUGUGUGCAGGAAAAUGGAUGUUUAGGCGCCCCGGAAAAUUCCAAUAAAAAAUAGAUAAAUCCACGAACCGGGAGGAACCCUGGGUCAGAAGAUGGGCGAGAGGGGGGCCACCAUGCCUCCAGGCGACCUUUGGGCGCGGCCUGCCCCCUGGCCGCGUUGGGAGGCCGCCUGGUGGGGUCCACCUCCUCUGAUGCCCUACUUUGUCUUCUAUUUUUUUCCUGAUGGAGAAAUCCCAGAAGAGAAGUCGUUUUGCAAGUUCUCGACGCGGAGCCGCCGCCACCCUCAGUUCUUUUUCGGGAGAGCUAAUCUAGAGGCUGCCUUGGCCUCCGGAGAGGGGAAAUCGUCGCCAUCAUCAUCACCAUCUUCACUCCAUCACCCUUCCAUGGAUUCCCCCAUCAUGUAUGAGUAAUUCCAUGUUGUAGGUGAAGUGGACGGCAGGAAUUGGAUGAGUUAGAUCAUGUAAUAGUUCGUCGGAUUGUUGGGGGCAUGUUGCCAAUCAUCUACCAUGGUGUUUAUCAUCUUUUCUACUACUUGUUACUCUUAAUGCUUGUCACUUCGGGACCGAGUGCCAUGAUUUCAGAUCUGAAUAUCUUAUGUUUUCAUGAAUAUAUUUGUGUUCUCGAUCCUAUCUAUGAGUAGUAUGCACCUAUUAUAGUCCGGAACAGGCAAUCCCAACGGUGACAUCUUGGGACAAAAAAAGGGAUAGACUAUGAUUUGAGGAUUCCAUGUAUCCAUUGAUUGUUAAUGCUUUGUUCCGGUGCUCUUUGACAGGAGCACCUUAAUCUCCAUAAGUUCCUUUUGGCCCCAUUGGUAGCGGGAUGAUAGGAAAAAACAUGUUGUGCAAGUUCUUAUUGCAAGCACGCACGACUACCUUGGGAUACAUGCCUAAUGAUUGAUAUUUUCCUAGAUGAUCAUUCCUUCUCUAUGUGCCUUGCCCCAUGUUAAAUACAUGAUAUCUCUCAUCCAUGACCAACCAACCAUCUCCGUAGCCUACAUGGUUUUAAUCCCGCUAGUCACUAGUUGCUCUACUUUA
Molecule: long non-coding RNA, 6366 nt
Filed under: Hordeum vulgare
Lineage: Eukaryota; Viridiplantae; Streptophyta; Magnoliopsida; Poales; Poaceae
Description: long non-coding RNA (HVUL_LNC003278)
Source: RNAcentral